This 378-nucleotide long non-coding RNA is filed under the name Setaria viridis. RNAcentral's name for it is "long non-coding RNA (SVIR_LNC001552)". Lineage: Eukaryota; Viridiplantae; Streptophyta; Magnoliopsida; Poales; Poaceae. The record is from RNAcentral.
UCGAGGAACAAAGCAACUCCUAUAUUUGCAACACUCUUCUCCUUUACAUACUUGGUAUGCUAGACAUAUAUAUAGUAAAUAAUCAGAUGAGGGAAUGGGAGUUAGUCAAAAGGUCUUAUAUAACAGUACUACUAAGAAUGAUUUGGAUGAAAUAACUAAGCUUUGUCAUGAAUGGGCUGGUGCAAGUUGCAAAUCCACAUGCCAUAAUGUUAUGUUGAUCGAUGCAUUUGAUUACUUUGCCUUUUUCGUGGAGGUUGUAAAAAAAAGUACCUAUAUCCAUCCCGGGUUACACUGUUACACAUGCUCAUUCAUACCUGUGAGUUUGUGAGUUUAUACGUGCUUUUUAAAAUAGGUUCAUCAAAAGGCAAAAUAAAACUG